AAAAAGUUUUAUUUUAGCUGAAAUAAUAAGUUUAUGAUUUAUUUACAUGUAAAUUUUUGUAGGAUUUUUUAUGAUUUUAAAAAAAUUAUAUGGGUUAUUUUAAUCGCAGUAUUUAGUUUUAAUUAUUAAGGGAACUUAGAGUUAGAAAUUUAUAAUAAUAUUAACUUAAUUUGUGCCAGCAGUUGCGGUUAUACAAAUAAUAUAAUUUAUUAUUAUUAAUUUGUAAUUAAUUGAAUUAUUUUUUUAAUAUUAAUUAUGAUUUAUUAAGUGAAAUUUUAAAUUAUAAUUAAUUUAGAUAAAAAUUUUUGAAGUUAUUAAAUUUUAAAUAAAACUAGGAUUAGAUACCCUAUUAUAAAAAUGUAAAUUUGUAAAAUUAAAUUAUUAAUAGUUAUAAUCUUUAAAGUUAAAAAAUUUGGCGGUAUUUUAAUCUAUUCAGAGGAACCUGCCCUAUAAUUGAUAUUCCACGAUUAAAUUAACUUAUUUUAAAAAUUUAUAUAUCGUCGUAGUUGAAUAUUUUAAUAGAAAUUAAAUAUUCUAAAUUUUAAUUUUAAAAAUAAAUCAGAUCAAGGUGUAGUUUAUAAAUAAGAAGAGGUGGGUUACAAAAAAAUUAUAAAUUUUGGAUUUAUUUUUAAAAAAAAUAAUGAAAUUGGAUUUGAUAGUAAUUAAAUUAAUUUAGGUUUAAUGAUUAGAGCUCUAAAAUAUGCACAUAUCGCCCGUCGCUUUCAUUUAAGUUGAAAUAAGUCGUAACAUAGUAAAUGUACUGGAAAGUGUAUUUAGGUAGUC
RNAcentral lists this non-coding RNA (783 nucleotides) under Atheta sp. 1 EF-2015. The record is from RNAcentral. Lineage: Eukaryota; Metazoa; Arthropoda; Insecta; Coleoptera; Staphylinidae.